This 466-nucleotide ribosomal RNA is filed under the name uncultured bacterium. RNAcentral describes it as "partial 16S ribosomal RNA". It matches the Rfam family "Bacterial small subunit ribosomal RNA", at positions 28 to 505 of the family's 1533-position model. The record is from RNAcentral.
GACGAACGCUGGCGGCGUGCUUAACACAUGCAAGUCGAACGGAAAGGCCCUGCCUUUGUGGGGUGCUCGAGUGGCGAACGGGUGAGUAACACGUGAGUAACCUGCCCUUGACUUUGGGAUAACUUCAGGAAACUGGGGCUAAUACCGGAUAGGCGCUCCUGCUGCAUGGUGGGGGUUGGAAAGUUUCGGCGGUUGGGGAUGGACUCGCGGCUUAUCAGCUUGUUGGUGGGGUAGUGGCUUACCAAGGCUUUGACGGGUAGCCGGCCUGAGAGGGUGAACGGCCACAUUGAGACAGAGAGGCGGCCCAGACGCCUACGGGAGAAAGCAGGGGAGAAUAUUGCACAAGGGGCGGGAGCCUGAUGCAGCAACGCCGCGUGCGAGAUGACGGCCUUCGGGUUGAAAAGCGCUUUCGCCUGAGACGAAGCGUGAGUGGCGGUAAUGAGAAAAGAAGCAGCGUCUAACUGCG